This 1711-nucleotide ribosomal RNA is filed under the name Salmonella enterica subsp. enterica serovar 4,[5],12:i:-. Its description in RNAcentral is "partial 23S ribosomal RNA". It matches the Rfam family "Bacterial large subunit ribosomal RNA", at positions 1163 to 2829 of the family's 2925-position model. RNAcentral also lists the same sequence under 1 other name. The record is from RNAcentral. Lineage: Bacteria; Pseudomonadati; Pseudomonadota; Gammaproteobacteria; Enterobacterales; Enterobacteriaceae.
UAAAGCGAUUCAGCGGGUUACGAUUGACGGAGCGAAGCGACGUCAAAGCGUAUACAAAGUCGAGUCGGUUUAAGGAUACGUUCGUUGGGUAGGGGAGCGUUCUGUAAGCCCGUGAAGGUGGCCUGUGAGGGUUGCUGGAGGUAUCAGAAGUGCGAAUGCUGACAUAAGUAACGAUAAAGCGGGUGAAAAGCCCGCUCGCCGGAAGACCAAGGGUUCCUGUCCAACGUUAAUCGGGGCAGGGUGAGUCGACCCCUAAGGCGAGGCCGAAAGGCGUAGUCGAUGGGAAACGGGUUAAUAUUCCCGUACUUGGUGUUACUGCGAAGGGGGGACGGAGAAGGCUAUGUUGGCCGGGCGACGGUUGUCCCGGUUUAAGCGUGUAGGUGUGUGUUCCAGGUAAAUCCGGUUCACUUUAACACUGAGGCGUGAUGACGAGGCACUACGGUGCUGAAGCAACAAAUGCCCUGCUUCCAGGAAAAGCCUCUAAGCAUCAGGUAACAUCAAAUCGUACCCCAAACCGACACAGGUGGUCAGGUAGAGAAUACCAAGGCGCUUGAGAGAACUCGGGUGAAGGAACUAGGCAAAAUGGUGCCGUAACUUCGGGAGAAGGCACGCUGACACGUAGGUGAAGUGAUUUACUCACGGAGCUGAAGUCAGUCGAAGAUACCAGCUGGCUGCAACUGUUUAUUAAAAACACAGCACUGUGCAAACACGAAAGUGGACGUAUACGGUGUGACGCCUGCCCGGUGCCGGAAGGUUAAUUGAUGGGGUCAGCGCAAGCGAAGCUCCUGAUCGAAGCCCCGGUAAACGGCGGCCGUAACUAUAACGGUCCUAAGGUAGCGAAAUUCCUUGUCGGGUAAGUUCCGACCUGCACGAAUGGCGUAAUGAUGGCCAGGCUGUCUCCACCCGAGACUCAGUGAAAUUGAACUCGCUGUGAAGAUGCAGUGUACCCGCGGCAAGACGGAAAGACCCCGUGAACCUUUACUAUAGCUUGACACUGAACAUUGAGCCUUGAUGUGUAGGAUAGGUGGGAGGCUUUGAAGUGUGGACGCCAGUCUGCAUGGAGCCGACCUUGAAAUACCACCCUUUAAUGUUUGAUGUUCUAACGUGGACCCGUAAUCCGGGUUGCGGACAGUGUCUGGUGGGUAGUUUGACUGGGGCGGUCUCCUCCUAAAGAGUAACGGAGGAGCACGAAGGUUGGCUAAUCCUGGUCGGACAUCAGGAGGUUAGUGCAAUGGCAUAAGCCAGCUUGACUGCGAGCGUGACGGCGCGAGCAGGUGCGAAAGCAGGUCAUAGUGAUCCGGUGGUUCUGAAUGGAAGGGCCAUCGCUCAACGGAUAAAAGGUACUCCGGGGAUAACAGGCUGAUACCGCCCAAGAGUUCAUAUCGACGGCGGUGUUUGGCACCUCGAUGUCGGCUCAUCACAUCCUGGGGCUGAAGUAGGUCCCAAGGGUAUGGCUGUUCGCCAUUUAAAGUGGUACGCGAGCUGGGUUUAGAACGUCGUGAGACAGUUCGGUCCCUAUCUGCCGUGGGCGCUGGAGAACUGAGGGGGGCUGCUCCUAGUACGAGAGGACCGGAGUGGACGCAUCACUGGUGUUCGGGUUGUCAUGCCAAUGGCACUGCCCGGUAGCUAAAUGCGGAAGAGAUAAGUGCUGAAAGCAUCUAAGCACGAAACUUGCCCCGAGAUGAGUUCUCCCUGAGACUUAGAGUCUCCU